RNAcentral lists this transfer RNA (72 nucleotides) under Camelus bactrianus (Bactrian camel). It matches the Rfam family "tRNA". From Rfam's summary of the family: Transfer RNA (tRNA) molecules are approximately 80 nucleotides in length. Their secondary structure includes four short double-helical elements and three loops (D, anti-codon, and T loops). Further hydrogen bonds mediate the characteristic L-shaped molecular structure. tRNAs have two regions of fundamental functional importance: the anti-codon, which is responsible for specific mRNA codon recognition, and the 3' end, to which the tRNAs corresponding amino acid is attached (by aminoacyl-tRNA synthetases). tRNAs cope with the degeneracy of the genetic code in two manners: having more than one tRNA (with a specific anti-codon) for a particular amino acid; and 'wobble' base-pairing, i.e. permitting non-standard base-pairing at the 3rd anti-codon position. The record is from Rfam by way of RNAcentral. RNAcentral also lists the same sequence under 1 other name. Lineage: Eukaryota; Metazoa; Chordata; Mammalia; Artiodactyla; Camelidae.
GGGGGUAUGGCUCAGGGGCAGAGUGCAUGCUUGGUAUGCAUGAGGGCCUGGGUUCAAUCCCCAGUACUUCCA